GGAUGCAAACCCUAAAGUCCCAGGGUCCUUUAAAUAGUGCCAAACGCGUCCCAAAGUGCGCCUGGUCCAAAAGAAUAAAAUCAGAGCAUAAUCAGGGCCCGAUCCACAUGAAAUCAUGCUCAAGCAUCACAAGGAGCUCGCCCAAGCGUGAAUUGAGGCUCAUGUGAGGCUUGGGCGCCAGUUUUGGACGCCUAAGCUUUGGGCGUCCGUCGCCCGGGCGUUGGGGCCGUCGCUCGGGCGACCAAUAGUGAUCCUGGAUGCGCUAUUUUUCGUUCCUGUCGCCUGGGCUUCGGGUUUUGUCCCUUCUUGGUGCAUUUUUGACCCCU
This 326-nucleotide long non-coding RNA is filed under the name Vigna radiata. Its description in RNAcentral is "long non-coding RNA (VRAD_LNC016914)". Lineage: Eukaryota; Viridiplantae; Streptophyta; Magnoliopsida; Fabales; Fabaceae. The record is from RNAcentral.